GGUGAUUUUUCAAAUUCAAGUCACUAUUGCUGCCUGAAUUCUGUUUCUUUGCAAAAUUUUACCAUUUUAUGACUUUCAUACCUAAUUUAUCACUUAGACUUUUAUAACAAUAAUUAACUUCAUCCUUGACCAUUUAAACAACCAUUCAUCAUCAAAUACUUACACAUCAUUCUAUAGUAAAAUCAUAUUUACAAAUAUACAAAAUUACUAAAUUCCUAUACAUGCCAUAACUAAAAGAAAUGUUCACCACCACAAUUAGCUCAGAAUCGGCUUUGGAUGCUGAUUCAACAAUCCGACUUUGACCUAACCUGCGCACGGAAACAACCGUACGCUGAGUAUGGAAAUACUCAGUGGUAUUACCAUAAUUCGAAUUAAUAACAUUAAUCGAUAAAUUAUAUACAUUUUAUUUAUGUCUACAAUUAUUCAUUAAUUAUCUCAUGCAUUAAAUCAACUUGAUAAUUAAUAACAAUAAGCUAUAAUUCAAAUCUUGUAUUUAAUUGUAUUCAUACCUUAUUUCACUAUCUCAAUUCCAUUGGAUUUUUCUUUACAUCUCAUUCCAAUAGUUCAUUUCAAUUCAUAUACAAUUCAUUUCAUUUAAUUUAUAUUCAAUAUAAAUUUUAUUGCAAUUUGUACUCACUAAUAUCAUAUAACAAAAUUUACUCUUUAUCACAUCAUGAACUUUGGGCUCAUAUCUUUAAAUCUCUUAUUUCGAUUUCCAAUUCACACAUCAAUUCACAACUUCACUUUUUCGUUUCUUCCCAUAGCUCAAUCAAUCACAUUUAUUCAAUUUUCUCAUUUCAAUUAUUUACCCCUAUUAACAAGACUCGGACCUUGGCGGAUACACGGAUCCAACCAAACACACCAAAAUGGCACCCAGUGCCUCAUCGGAUAGUUCGACGCAAUAGUUGACACCCAGUGUCUCAUCGGCCCAGCCGAAGUAAAGUUGGUACCCAGUACCUCAUCGAAUCUAUCCGAAGAAAUAUAGUGACACCCAGUGUCUCAUCGACUCAAGGUCGAAGUAUCCCUGAACUCUUCCAAUCCUAUGGCAUGCCAACUAUAUCCGACUCAGCCCGACUAGUUAAUAGGGUUUCCGAAUCACAUUUCAAUUCAAUCACUUUCUCAUACUUUCAAUUCAAAUCAUUCCCAUUUAAUCACCAUUUGUUUCAAUACAUUUUUCUAUUUCAAAUUCACUUUCGAUUUAAUCGCAAUUCAACUCAGAUUCACUUCCCACUUUCAAAUCAAUAUACAAUUCAAUACCAAUACAUAUUUCAGAUAUUCACAUAUAAUCAUACUUCGAUUCAAUUCAAACCACUUUUCAAUCAAUACACAAUUCACAUAUUCACAUAUCUCAAUUUAAUAUCUCAUUUAUUCAAUUCAUAUUUUAAUUCAUUCAAUUAAAUAUUGAUAUUCUCCUUAUUUUUAUUUACUAACAUAUUAUUCAAAAUUCAAUAAUUACUGUCAAUAAAUUCAAUAUCAAUACGUAUAUAUAUUAUUCAAUUCAAUUAUGAAACUCACCUCAAUUUGCUUAUCGUGUAUAUUAAUUUAAUUUUCAACGAUUAAUAAUUAAAUUCGAAUUAUAGUAAUACUAACCGUAAUUUCUCUCGAGUCACUCCUUGUCCACUUUCUCCUUUCCUUUCUCGGACAAUGAUUCGUACACGACAUUAACUACGUAAUUAAACAAUUAAAAAUCAUUAAUACACAAUUUCAUUAAAAUAUUUCCUUUUAUACCUAAACUUUACCCAAAUUCUAAUUUAAUCCCUUACCAAUACUAAUUUUAUUUUUCUCAAUCUAACUCUAUAUUCUCUCUUAAUUCUUACUAAACUCAUAUUUAACUAUUUAAUUUUUAUCAUGUUUUCAUAAUUCCGAAUUUAUUUCAAAUUAAUCCCUAAAAUUCAAAACUUAUAGUUUAGUUUACAAUUCAAUCCUUUAUUCAAUUCCAAUCAAAAUUUCUAUCAAAUACAUCCCUAAUUUAACAAUUUAUUCAACAUGAACCAUGCUUAAUAAUCUACUAACUUUCAAAAUUUCAACUUAAAUCAAGUAGUAUUUUAUUCUAGGAUUUCAAAAAAAAUAUCAAAAUUAAGAGAAAAGGGGAUUAAAUUGACUUACCAAAUUACUUUGAACCUUAAAACCCCGAAUUUCCCUUUUUCUUUUCUUUUCUUUCUUUCUUUCCUUCCUUCCUUCUCUGUUUCGUUUUGCUCUCUGUUUCUUUCUUUCUCCCUUCUCUGUUUUGUUUUGCUCUCUGUUUCUUUUCUUUCUUUCUUUGUCAUAUAUAUAUAUAUAUAUAAUAUAAUAUAAUAUAAAAUAAUAAUAAUAAUCAUUACUUACAUAUAUAUAUAUAUAUUAACUAGAAUAUCUCAGAUAUUUCUUUCAUUAUGCCGCCUCAACUUUAGAAAAAGGCAUAAUUGCCUAUUUGGUCCU
Molecule: long non-coding RNA, 2418 nt
Filed under: Gossypium barbadense (sea-island cotton)
Lineage: Eukaryota; Viridiplantae; Streptophyta; Magnoliopsida; Malvales; Malvaceae
Description: long non-coding RNA (GBAR_LNC015312)
Source: RNAcentral